CCUUAGUACGGCGAGUGAAGCGGCAAAAGCUCAAAUUUGAAAUCUGGCACCUUCGGUGUCCGAGUUGUAAUUUGAAGAAGCAACUUUGGUGCUGGUCCUUGUCUAUGUUCCUUGGAACAGGACGUCAUAGAGGGUGAGAAUCCCGUGUGGCGAGGAUCCCAGUGCUAUGUAAAGUGCUUUCGACGAGUCGAGUUGUUUGGGAAU
RNAcentral lists this ribosomal RNA (204 nucleotides) under Lachancea fermentati. RNAcentral's name for it is "partial 26S ribosomal RNA". It matches the Rfam family "Eukaryotic large subunit ribosomal RNA", at positions 78 to 281 of the family's 3401-position model. The record is from RNAcentral. Lineage: Eukaryota; Fungi; Ascomycota; Saccharomycetes; Saccharomycetales; Saccharomycetaceae.